AUGGGCUCCAGACUCUUCUUUGUGGUUUUGAGUCUCCUGUGGGCAAAACACAUGGAGGCUGCAGUCACCCAAAGCCCAAGAAAGAAGGUGGCAGUAACAGGAGGAAAGGUGACAUUGAACUGUCACCAGACUAAUAACCAUGACUAUAUGUACUGGUAUCGGCAGGACAUGGGGCAUGGACUGAGGCUGCUCCAUUAUUCAUAUGUUGCUAACAGCACUGAGAAAGGAGAUGUCCCUGAUGGGUACAAGGCCUCCAGACCAAGCCAAGAGGACUUCUCUCUCAUUCUGGAGUUGGCUUCCCUCUCUCAGACAGCUGUAUAUUUCUGUGCCAGCAGUGAUGCACAGUGA
Non-coding RNA from Mus caroli (Ryukyu mouse), 348 nucleotides. The record is from the annotation of a RefSeq genome assembly. Lineage: Eukaryota; Metazoa; Chordata; Mammalia; Rodentia; Muridae.